RNAcentral lists this ribosomal RNA (496 nucleotides) under uncultured bacterium. Its description in RNAcentral is "partial 16S ribosomal RNA". It matches the Rfam family "Bacterial small subunit ribosomal RNA", at positions 28 to 506 of the family's 1533-position model. The record is from RNAcentral.
GAUGAACGCUGGCGGCGUGCCUAAUACAUGCAAGUCGAGCGAACAGACGAGGAGCUUGCUCCUCUGACGUUAGCGGCGGACGGGUGAGUAACACGUGGAUAACCUACCUAUAAGACUGGGAUAACUUCGGGAAACCGGAGCUAAUACCGGAUAAUAUAUUGAACCGCAUGGUUCAAUAGUGAAAGACGGUUUUGCUGUCACUUGUAGAUGGAUCCGCGCCGCAUUAGCUAGUUGGUAAGGUAACGGCUUACCAAGGCAACGAUGCGUGGCCGACCUGAGAGGGUGAUCGGCCACACUGGAACUGAGACACGGUCCAGACUCCUACGGGAGGCAGCAGUAGGGAAUCUUCCGCAAUGGGCGAAAGCCUGACGGAGCAACGCCGCGUGAGUGAUGAAGGUCUUCGGAUCGUAAAACUCUGUUAUUAGGGAAGAACAAAUGUGUAAGUAACUAUGCACGUCUUGACGGUACCUAAUCAGAAAGCCACGGCUAACUACGU